RNAcentral lists this ribosomal RNA (466 nucleotides) under uncultured Alphaproteobacteria bacterium. RNAcentral's name for it is "bacterial SSU rRNA". It matches the Rfam family "Bacterial small subunit ribosomal RNA", at positions 9 to 521 of the family's 1533-position model. Lineage: Bacteria; Pseudomonadati; Pseudomonadota; Alphaproteobacteria. The record is from RNAcentral.
GAGUUUGAUCUUGGCUCAGAACGAACGCUGGCGGCAUGCCUAACACAUGCAAGUCGAACGAGACCUUCGGGUCUAGUGGCGCACGGGUGCGUAACGCGUGGGAAUCUGCCCUUGGGUUCGGAAUAACGUUUGGAAACGAACGCUAAUACCGGAUGAUGUCUUCGGACCAAAGAUUUAUCGCCCAGGGAUGAGCCCGCGUAGGAUUAGCUUGUUGGUGAGGUAAAGGCUCACCAAGGCGACGAUCCUUAGCUGGUCUGAGAGGAUGAUCAGCCACACUGGGACUGAGACACGGCCCAGACUCCUACGGGAGGCAGCAGUGGGGAAUCUUGCGCAAUGGGCGAAAGCCUGACGCAGCCAUGCCGCGUGGAUGAUGAAGGUCUUAGGAUUGUAAAAUCCUUUCAGCGGGGACGAUAAUGACGGUACCCGCAGAAGAAGCCCCGGCUAACUUCGUGCCAGCAGCCGCAGU